UUUUUUUCGUCUUGAUGGAAUGAUCUACUAUCAUCAUCUGAUCUUUACUCAAGUCAGAUCUACAAAAAAGAAGACAAUUGCCAUAAGCAGCACUUCCACAAGCUGAAUCAUUUAUUAAUAUUUAUUGAGAUAUAUGCACUCAAAUAUUCAACUAGCACAGGAUAGCUUAGUUGAUUGAGUAGGAUGUGUGAACUAUUGUAAAUUUUUUAUUACCAGUUUUUGAUUCUUACAGAUAAAAAAAACUAAAAGAAGGUGAAUCAAUAAUUCAUUAUUACUCUUAUUAAUGCACCACCAAAAACAAAAUCGUAGACUUGUCAUAGGCUUCUUUAUCAAAAGCAAUUUAUACUUCACAAAUGGCACCUCUGCUUGUUGAGAAGAAAAUUCAAGCAAGUUUGAUCAAAACAACAUAUUCAUGGAUGCCAGCUCCCCAUUCAUAGUCAUCAAUGUAAAUUAAUUAAUUAUAAAAUCGAAAUAGUCAUAAUCAUUCUACCAGUAAAGUGACAUUUCCACUAGAAUGUAUCCUACUGGAUACCAAAGGUAUAAAAAAGGAAUAGCGUUAUGCUACUUUCAAAUAAAAUAAUCCCCACUGCUAUACCGAAUGUAUAACAAUACCAAAUGGUAGGGAUUUUUUCAUGAUCAACAAUAUAAUAGUUUAUUUCAAUGAAAAGAAACUUACAAAAAAUAUGGUAUAAGGAGAAGCAUUUAUUGGUUGCAAUUUAUGAUAAACUGUUGUCAGAGGUAAUGGAUGUCUUGAGCCAUCCAUGUUGACAACAACAUACUCAGCAUUUGGCCACCGUCUAACAUGAAUAUUAGAACAAAAGGCACGUACAACAAAAAUAUCACUAGAAUAUCUAUAAAAUAUUUCAUAUUAUCAUUAUUGUUAUCUUAAAAUAUUUUACAGUAUCUUACAUGAUCCCUUCCAGUCGGAAAGACUUCUGUUGUUAUUGCUGUUGUUACAUGAUCCUUUAGGAAUGAUUUUCGUAUUUCAGUAUAUUUCAUGAUUUGUUUCCUUAUUUUAUUAAGAUUAGGAGUCUAGUACCAUUGUAAAUAGAAAUUACUGCUUUUUUGUAGAACACCAUUACAUACAAUAAAUCGGUAUUAUAUUUUAUAAUUCUGAGCUUGGUCUCUCUUUUCCUCCUUCUCUGCCUGUUCCUAUAAUUUCAAGGUAUAUGAUAUGUCCUAGGUAUUAAAAACAAAUCCUAGUAACUUGCACAUGUUACGUCCAAGAUCAUCCCUUUGCGCAAUAAUUGAAGCAAAGUUAUGGGCGGCAAUUCUUUUUGGUUUGCAAACUGAUAUUGAAUCUGGUUUAUAAUUCCAUUCUCAACUCUUAUAUUAUAAAUUGUAACUAUAAUAACUUUUAAUUAAAGACUCUCAACAUUUUCCAUAAAAAAAAAUUCUCAACUGUUGUUUUUUUUUUUUUCUUUUUGAGGGAUGUUUUCCAUGAAAAACUAUUAUCUUCAUUUACUGAAGAGCUAUGGGUGGUGGGGGGUCUCACAGACUUCAUAGAUUUAUCUCUCUUAAUGGACCUCUCUAAUUACUGAAGAGGGAUCAGACCCGUUUAGUUUUUAUAAUUGGAUAAAAAAUAAUCUUUUCUCAAUCAUUUCAAAUUAUCUUUUUUUUUCCUCUUAAAUUUAAUUUUAAUAUUUUUCUUUAAAAAAUAUCAAUGAUUAAAAUAAUCUUAUAUUAUAAUUUAAAUUAUUUACUUUAAAUUUAAAAUAUAAUUUAUAUAAUACAGUUAUAUAUUAAAAAUAUUUAUUUGUUAUAAAUUCUAAUUAUAAAAAAAAAAUUGAUCAUGUGUAAUUUACUUGAUUAAAAAGACCCAAAACAAAAGGAGGUCUCCCGAAAAUUUUGCUCAGUUUACCGUUUUUCCGAGCAUGCUUUCUUCCUCUCUUUUUGAUUAAGCUUGAUCUAAUGAUAAAUAAUAAACCAAUGUUCCUCUUUCUGACAACACUGUCAAAAAGUAACGCAAAGUAUUGCUGUUAAUGAUGCAUGUCACUUUGAUUACAGCUACUCUCCAUUGUCAAAGCUGAAAAUCAUUGCUUACUCCAAGCUAAAAAUCAUUGCUUACAGCUAUAGAUACUUCAAGAACACAAAACAAAUUAACGUCUUAUUAAUUAAUACUUUAAGAAACUAAAAAGAAUAAUUAUUUAUUAUAAAAAUCAUAAGAAAAUAUAAAAAAGAAAAGUUAUGAAUGAUAUAAUUUUUAUAUGAUCCAAUAAAAAAAAUUCACUUUAAUAAGAACUUUUUUGUUAGCAUUUGAGGACAAACAAUAUGAACACAAAAAAGAUAGCAAAGAAAUAUACCUUGCUUCCGUACCCCAGAGUCUGGUUUCUCUACCAUCCUUUUCACCUUUUAAUCUUUUUUGGCCAUUCUUUAAUCCUGCUCACUUUAUGGCCGGCUGUUUGUCCAUCACUUCCAUCAUCCAAUCUCAUAUAGAUUCCUUAGCCCAUCACUCAUCACCCCACUAUAAAUAAUUGCCUCUUAAGUUAAAACUUUGAUCACACACAACAUAAAAACAAACUCUUAAUUAAUUGCUUCACCUCCAAAAAAUGGCCACCACCACCACCACCUAUGCUUAUGGUUCCUCUUCUCAAAGAUCACUGGGCAUGGUGCUGGCUCU
This 2620-nucleotide long non-coding RNA is filed under the name Glycine max (soybean). RNAcentral's name for it is "long non-coding RNA (GMAX_LNC001403)". Lineage: Eukaryota; Viridiplantae; Streptophyta; Magnoliopsida; Fabales; Fabaceae. The record is from RNAcentral.